RNAcentral lists this ribosomal RNA (301 nucleotides) under uncultured bacterium. RNAcentral describes it as "partial 16S ribosomal RNA". It matches the Rfam family "Bacterial small subunit ribosomal RNA", at positions 509 to 807 of the family's 1533-position model. The record is from RNAcentral.
CAGCAGCCACGGUAACACGUAGGUGGCAAGCGUUGUCCGGAAUUAUUGGGCGUAAAGCGCGCGCAGGUGGUUUAAUAAGUCUGAUGUGAAAGCCCACGGCUCAACCGUGGAGGGUCAUUGGAAACUGUUAAACUUGAGUGCGGGAGAGAAAAGUGGAAUUCCUAGUGUAGCGGUGAAAUGCGUAGAGAUUAGGAGGAACACCAGUGGCGAAGGCGGCUUUUUGGCCUGUAACUGACACUGAGGCGCGAAAGCGUGGGGAGCAAACAGGAUUAGAGACCCCCGUAGUCCCUGUCUCUUAUAC